UUCUCAGGAAGAACAUUCUGUCUACAUGUUACACUAACCAUGAGACAGUGUGUCCUCCCUCAGGC
Molecule: non-coding RNA, 65 nt
Organism: Lottia gigantea (owl limpet)
Lineage: Eukaryota; Metazoa; Mollusca; Gastropoda; Lottiidae
Source: Rfam